GGCUGAAUAACUGACAGUAGUGUGAAUUGCAAAGGGACGACAUCAACACAGACUGAAUAUUCAGCAUGAAUGCUGACAUUUCUUGAACUAUGCAUAAUAGCUGGGAAGAACAAGCACAUUUCCGGAGACUUGUUGGGAGAAAUCCAUAAGAAGUAUUAGACUAUGACCAGAUGGCGUACCUGCCUCGCUGGAACCAGAUGCACGUUCUACUGUCUGCUCAGUUGCCAAGGCAGAAUAAUGCAAACUGUACACAUGUGUACUCAAGAACCUCUUUCCCUCAUCCUUGGAGGAAGGAGUAAAUGAGCAAGGAGGGGAAGCCUUGGAGAACCAGA
RNAcentral lists this long non-coding RNA (332 nucleotides) under Gallus gallus (chicken). RNAcentral's name for it is "lncRNA (ENSGALG00010019949.1)". Lineage: Eukaryota; Metazoa; Chordata; Aves; Galliformes; Phasianidae. The record is from RNAcentral.